Molecule: long non-coding RNA, 860 nt
Filed under: Mytilus galloprovincialis (Mediterranean mussel)
Lineage: Eukaryota; Metazoa; Mollusca; Bivalvia; Mytilida; Mytilidae
Source: RNAcentral
UUUUUAUUGAGUCUUUCCACUUUUCUGUGGAAAGACUUAUUGUUUUUCUUCUGAUUAUUAUUAGGUCUUUCCACUUUUCUGUGGAAAGACCUAUUGUUUUUCUUCUGAUUAUUUUUUUUUUUUUUUUUUUUUUUCUUCCGCCUAAUUUUGUUCUUGCGAUAAACAUUUGUUUCGCAAUAUGUCGCUUAGAUAUUUUGUAUAUGAUAUCGAACAGUUUAUGCGCUUUUGAAAUUUACCCUGCGUAAACAAAUACUUUUCUUUGUAGGAGUUAUCUCCCCAAACACUGUUUUCCUUGUUAGCGCAUCUCCUUCGCAACCGUAAAAGAUUAUGACAAAUUUAUUUUACAAAAUUGCUAGUUAUAUCCUUCGCAUGAUUUGUCCUAUUUUGACCGAAGCGAUAUGACCGCUCCAUAUGAGAGUUAUUUCCCCUUAUGCAUCUGAUAUAAGUGAUAUGAAUUUCUAUCUUAUAAACCAUAAGUGAUAGAGACCUAGGAUCUUUUGAUUUGAGGUCCUUGGUCCCAAAAAAUGAAAAUUAGGUCAAGGUCAAAGGUCAAGGUCAUAUUCUAAUAUUUGAAUUUGGCUUAUUUUAACUUAUAUCCAAAGACUGUAUAAGAUAUCAACAAAUUAUUUUUACUAAAUUGUUAGUUGCGACAUGUCGUAAGAUGUAAAUUUUUGAUUGCAAGCGUACGUUGAAUGUAAAAGGGAGUUUUCUCCCCUCUUGCAUUUAAAAAUACGCGUUUGGUGAUAUAACUCAUUAACUAAAUAUAAUUAAGACCUAUGGUCUUUUGAUUUGAGGUCCUUGGUUCAUGACCUUGAAAUUGAUCUCAAGGUCAUAGCUUAAUUUGACGUUCUAGAUUUUGA